This 5787-nucleotide long non-coding RNA is filed under the name Cicer arietinum (chickpea). RNAcentral's name for it is "long non-coding RNA (CARI_LNC002173)". The record is from RNAcentral. Lineage: Eukaryota; Viridiplantae; Streptophyta; Magnoliopsida; Fabales; Fabaceae.
AACACAACAAUAAAUUAAUAUUCUGUCAUUUUAAUUUUUAAAUGUGUCGGACAAUGUAUGAAUUUGAAUUUAAUCUAUUGAAGUUAUAAAAUCAAACUUUGAUAACUAAACUAACUUCACUAACAACUCAUUUAGUUGCUUCAAAUGCAAGUAAUUAAAAAUAAUAAUUUUUUUUUUUUAAUCUUAUAAGGAUUGUAUAGAAGAAAUUAAGUUAGUAUAUACUUACACAAUGAGUUGAGGGUUCCAGAGGAUGGAAUAGGUGUGAAAAUCUGCAGUAGGGUCAAACCAAAGAUGAAAUUGUUGCUCCCUAUUACCCUUUCCUUGGCUAAACACAUUUGUGUGAAGUGUGUAUGGCUGUCCACUCAAAUUUCCCAAGAAUUCAAAGUCAAUCUCAUCCCAGGCACCUCCUUUUGAUGAUAACUGAAUUUGAUAGAGCAUACAAAAUCCUCAUCAGUAAAAAAAAAAAAAAACUGUUAUAAGGUUGUAAAUAUAUGAAAGUAAAAUAUGAAGUGGUAGGUAGCUUACAUAAUAGGCAGUGACAGUACCAGCAGAGUUGCCAGAAACAAGUUUAAGUUGCAUAUCGAUUUUACCAAAAAGAUAUUGAUUUUUGGAUUGAAAGCCAGAGCCAGAGGCUUUGUCGAGAGAGAGAGUAAGAAGUUGGUCAUUGUUGAGUAUUUUGGCACGAGCAUCUCCCCAUGUAAUUUGAAAGUGUUGGUUGAAGUUAGAAGAAGAAGAAGAAGAAGAAGAAGAAGGUAGAAUGCAAAUUAGGAGAGGAAUAAAAAGCAGUAGUAAAUAGUUAGAGCAAGUGGUAGAAGAAGGCAUGAUAUGAUGUUAAUAAAAAUAAAUUAAUAAAGUUGUGAAUAAAAGGAAAGGUGAAGAAUGGGAUAUAUAGUAGAAAAUGAGGGUGUGAAUAAUAAAAACGAAAGCUGUCAAAAGGUGAAAAGAGAGAGAGAGAGAGAAGCAACAAAGAUUGUCGUAUAUGAAUAGAAAAGAAAGAAUUGGAGGAGAAGGCGGUUAUAUAUUGGAUUUAGGUAUAAAGUGGAUAAGAUCACAGGUGAGGUGAGCGUUGCCAGACAGCAAGACACAUUUGAAUUUCAAUUACCAAGAGGCACCUGCCUACCAUAUCUAUAUGCUAUGCUGCUGCCUGCUGGAUAUACUUUCACUUCUUACCAAACUGCAAUUAUAUCAAUUUUAACUUUCUUCAUUCAUUUUAUAUUUUAAUCAUUCUUAUUACAUAUAUUAAAUCACAAAAUUCAUUUUGCGGUCAAGGAUUUGAGCUAUAUACAUAACUUUUCAAUACUUUCACAAUCACACAAACACCUAAGUACGAUAAUUUUUUUAUAAACUACUGUCAUUCGUUUGUUUACGCAAAAUUUAUGAAAUAUUUGAGUUAUAAUUUAAUUAAUAAAAAUUUAUUAUUUUAUUUAUUUUUAUAAAUCUUUAAUUUUAUGUAAACUAAUAAUAUUAAGAAAAUUUAAAUUUUUUUAUAAUAUAAUUUUAAAAAAUUAUAUUAAUAUUUUUUAAAAAAAUUUAUAUUCUAAUUACUCUACAAUUUUAUAUUUAUACUUUAUGUCUAUAAUACUUAAAUUCUUUAACUACUCUUGUAAUUCUAUUAAAUAUUUUUUUCUACUUUAUUUUUAUUUUCUACUUAUGUUUUCCUUAAAUCUAUUAAAUCUACUUUUUCUCGACUCUUAUUUAAAUUAAAAUGAGUAAUUUAUAAAAAAAAUUACAAAACUAAAAUGCAUAAUCGUAAUAAUUUAACUAAAACUAAUUAAAUUAAUUUAAUAUUUUUUUAGUUUCAAGUCUAAAUUGAACUAAAUCAAUAAAUCUGAUAUUUAUUAAUUUAAAAUAUAAUUUCAAAUAAUUUUAAAAUAGAUUAUUCAAUAUCCAAAUUCAAUAAAUAAUACUAUGUCAAUAUUAAUAUAUUUAAUAAUGUAUUGUAUUUAAAUGUAUUUUAAUAAUUAUAUAUAUUGUUUUUUCUUUAUAUUGUUGGGAUAAAAUUAAUAUCUAGUAAUAUAUUAUUUAGUAACUAUCUCCAAAAUUAUCCUGUAACCAAAUAAUUUUUGAUAAAUUUUUGUAAAAUCUAUAAUUUAUGUUAUUGCUUCAUUUUAAUGUGCAAAAACUCAUCGUUUUGAAAGAUCCUUGAAAGUCUCCAAACUUUUGGCCGAGCCUAAGUUGUAUUUUUGAGAAGGAGUAAUAUUUGCAAGUGGAUGUGACACGUUUAUUGUAGCCAAGCCAAGCCAAGCCAACAUGUGAGACAGAAAGUAGUAGUUCUGGUAAUGGUUUGGUUGCGGCUUAGGUACGCGUCUCACCCAAUAGCUUUCGUAUUGUAAUCAAAUAAUAAAUUCUUCAAAUUAUUUAUUUUAAGGAAGUGAAAUUUUAUCUAAUAUACAAGUACACCACCGCCAUCGUUCAUCAAACAGCUCAGGAUAGGAGGACUAAAUCCUACUACUAAAAUAAUACUCUUUAAAUACUAGUAAUAUAUUAACUUUAUAAUAUUUAUAUUCAUUACCUAAAUCUUUUACUUUUCUGUGGACUACAGUUUUGUUGGAUGAAUUACAGAUGUCAUUUUUACUAUAAAGAAAUCCACGCUACAAUUGUUAUGGACUUCCCUGAUUAAAUUUAAGUGGUUUUGUUCUGUUUUUAUUCUGUGAUGAAUUUUCUUGUUAUGUCAAAUAAUAGACGAGAAUGUUAAUUUCUUUCAUUCAAAUUCCAUCAAUUUUCUUAGUGGGAUAAUUAAUCAUAAGAAAAUGAAUUAGACUUAACUUCUCCCGAGAGUCUUUUGCAGCCUGUUGUUUAUUUAUUUAUGUGGAUCAAAUAUGUAUUUAAUUUUUGUAAUUAUAAUUUUUUUUUUGUAAGUUUUUUGUUUUUUGUUUACAUAUAUAUGUAAAUAUACUUUCGUUUUAAAACCGUUCUUCUGUUAUAAAAAUUCUAAUAUUAUUUUGAAGCGUUCUUUUAAAAAUGGAGAUUAGAUUUUGCAGUAAAAUAAAUUGUAUGAAGAUUCAAUUAUUGAUCAUUCGCUACAAUUUUGCAAUUUCACCACAAUUUUUUUUUUCUUUCACUCAAUUAUUCCCCUUUAUUUUACCAUGGUCACUCUUCACUCUAAGCAAAUCACAUGAACGGGUUUAGCUCCUUUUAACAUCGAUUUUCUUCUCAUUGUUAGGAGGAGCUUUUUGUCACAUAAUUUAAAAAAUCGUCUUAGCGACAUAACUUUUGUCAUUUAAUCUGGGUGAUUUCUUUACACCAAGUGUGAAAUUCUUGAUUAAAUUGAAGAUGUCUUUGUGGAUUUAAAUUUGAGGUGAUUGGGUUAUUGAUAUUGUGUUGAAUGAGAAGGAAGACUUUUGUUAUACAUUUUUCACAAACACUUGUGGAACCAAAAACAUACUAACGGUGUUAGUGUUUUUAUAAUAGAAAUUUGAUAGUAUUUUUGAAAUAUAAAUUUGACGGAGAAUUAUUUUAAAAUAAAACUAUAUUUAUAAAUAUGUAAACCAAAUAAAAAAACUUACGAAUACUAAAAUAAAAAAAAAUGUUAUAAUUACAAAAACAAAAAACAUAUUUAAAUCUUUAUUUAUUUUAGUUACAAGAUUAAAUAAAUAUAUGGUUAAUUUGUGAAAUUAAGUAUUAUUUUUUAAAUUUUUGGGCUAUUUAAAAAUGAGGACAUUUGAUGAGUUUUCAUGAUCUUGAUAAAUUUUGUUUUUUAAAAUCAUGAAUGAAUACAACUCUCUUCUUGAUUUGCCUGAUGCAUAUGUAUAAGUAUUGUCCUUAGAUAUCAUUUAUCUUUAUAUUUUAUAAUUUAUAGCUAUGGUCUUAGAAGAAACAUAAAUACAUUAAGAAAUAAUUAACCAUAUAAUAAUAGGAAUUGGAUCCUUUAUAAUUGACUUAUACAAUGAAUUAAAGAAUAUAUUAUCAUGAAAAUUACAAUAUAAGAAAAGAGAAUACAAUCCAAACUAAAAAAAUUAUCCCCUAAGCCAUUUUGCAUUCUUGAGGAAGUCCCUGAGGAAAUCUUUUGAUAUCAGUACAAUAAUUAUAGAUCAUGUAAUUCUUCUGCACCCAUUUGAGCCUCUCAUGACUAGAAGAAUCCAACUCCUCAGAGAACCAAGCAUUAUUAGUAUUAGAUUGUGUUGAAGAACUACAAGAUGAUUUUCCAGAAGACCAAGUGCAUGCAUUUGCAUUGAAGUUUCUGUAUGAAGCAGUGAAAGGUGCUUUGCUCCAAUCUGUUUUAACAAGUCCUCCUCUUGUGGCCCAAUCAUCAGCAUUCCAAAGACUUGAGUAGAUUCUCAUUGGUUGGUUUUUCGGGAAUGGAACACCAUUUGAUUCCAUGUUCUUGAAUUCCCUAAUUGGAGUUCCAUCCACAUAGAAACUGAAAUACACAAAGAAAUCAUUAAGUUGCCUUCUUUUCAUUUAUUUUAAAUUAGGGAAUAUGAAAAUUAUAAUGAAUUAAAGAAUCAGUAAUGAUCAUUUUAUAAACAUUCAUGUUAAACUUUGUCUCUUGAGAUUAUAAUAGUAAACUCUUACUACUAAAGUGAUACUUAGUGAGAACUCAGCCAUUUAGUUGCUUGUAACACAAGAAAUGAAAAGAAAAAAAAUCAUGUUUUUUUUUUGUUUUCUUUGAGGAUUGGAUAGAAGAAAUUUAGUUAGCAUAUACUUACACAAUCUGUUGAGGAUUCCAGAGGAUGGAAUAGGUGUGAAAAUCUGCAGUAGGGUCAAACCAAAGAUGAAAUUGUUGCUCCCUAUUACCCUUUCCUUGGCUAAACACAUUUGUGUGAAGUGUGUAUGGCUGUCCACUCAAAUUUCCCAAGAAUUCAAAGUCAAUCUCAUCCCAGGCGCCUCCUUUUGAUGAUAACUGAAUUUGAUAGAGCAUACAAAAUUCUCAUCAGUAGAAAGAAAAAAACUGUUAUAAGGUUGUAAAUGUAUGAAAGUAAAAUACGAUGUGGUAAGUAGCUUACAUAAUAGGCAGUGACAGUACCAGCAGAGUUGCCAGAAACAAGUUUAAGUUGCAUAUCGAUUUUACCAAAAAGAUAUUGAUUUUUGGAUUGAAAGCCAGAACCAGAGGCUUUGUCAAGAGAGAGAGUAAGAAGUUGGUCAUUGUUGAGUAUUUUGGCACGACCCUGUAUGAAGCAGUGAAAGGUGCUUUGCUCCAAUCUGUUUUAACAAGUCCUCCUCUUGUGGCCCAAUCAUCAGCAUUCCAAAGACUUGAGUAGAUUCUCAUUGGUUGGUUUUUCGGGAAUGGAACACCAUUUGAUUCCAUGUUCUUGAAUUCCCUAAUUGGAGUUCCAUCCACAUAGAAACUGAAAUACACAAAGAAAUCAUUAAGUUGCCUUCUUUUCAUUUAUUUUAAAUUAGGGAAUAUGAAAAUUAUAAUGAAUUAAAGAAUCAGUAAUGAUCAUUUUAUAAACAUUCAUGUUAAACUUUGUCUCUUGAGAUUAUAAUAGUAAACUCUUACUACUAAAGUGAUACUUAGUGAGAACUCAGCCAUUUAGUUGCUUGUAACACAAGAAAUGAAAAGAAAAAAAAUCAUGUUUUUUUUUUGUUUUCUUUGAGGAUUGGAUAGAAGAAAUUUAGUUAGCAUAUACUUACACAAUCUGUUGAGGAUUCCAGAGGAUGGAAUAGGUGUGAAAAUCUGCAGUAGGGUCAAACCAAAGAUGAAAUUGUUGCUCCCUAUUACCCUUUCCUUGGCUAAACACAUUUGUGUGAAGUGUGUAUGGCUGUCCACUCAAAUUUCCCAAGAAUUCAAAGUCAAUCUCAUCCCAGGCGCCUCCUUUUGAUGAUAACUGAAUUUGAUAGAGC